GGCAAAUUACCAGCUCCUGCUGAAUCCCCCAGGUCUUGACCGAAGCAAGGGUACUGUGGUUGAGCGGUGAAUUUGCCUUUU
Molecule: non-coding RNA, 81 nt
Filed under: Emticicia oligotrophica DSM 17448
Lineage: Bacteria; Pseudomonadati; Bacteroidota; Cytophagia; Cytophagales; Leadbetterellaceae
Source: RNAcentral